Non-coding RNA from Pangasius djambal, 72 nucleotides. The record is from the annotation of a GenBank genome assembly. Lineage: Eukaryota; Metazoa; Chordata; Actinopteri; Siluriformes; Pangasiidae.
AGGGGUGUAGCUCAGUGGUAGAGCAUUUGACUGCAGAUCAAGCAGUUCCAUGGUCAAAUCUAGGUGUCCCCU